This 497-nucleotide ribosomal RNA is filed under the name uncultured bacterium. RNAcentral's name for it is "partial 16S ribosomal RNA". It matches the Rfam family "Bacterial small subunit ribosomal RNA", at positions 28 to 507 of the family's 1533-position model. The record is from RNAcentral.
GAUGAACGCUGGCGGCGUGCCCAAUACAUGCAAGUCGAGCGAACGGACGAGAAGCUUGCUUUUCUGAUGUUAGCGGCGGACGGGUGAGUAACACGUGGAUAACCUACCUAUAAGACUGGGAUAACUUCGGGAAACCGGAGCUAAUACCGGAUAAUAUUUUGAACCGCAUGGUUCAAAAGUGAAAGACGGUCUUGCUGUCACUUAUAGAUGGAUCCGCGCUGCAUUAGCUAGUUGGUAAGGUAACGGCUUACCAAGGCAACGAUGCAUAGCCGACCUGAGAGGGUGAUCGGCGACACUGGAACGGAGACGCGGUCCAGACGCCUACGGGAGGCAGCAGUAGGGAAUCUUCCGCAAUGGGCGAAAGCCUGACGGAGCAACGCCGCGUGAGUGAUGAAGGUCUUCGGAUCGUAAAACUCUGUUAUUAGGGAAGAACAUAUGUGUAAGUAACUGUGCACAUCUUGACGGUACCUAAUCAGAAAGCCACGGCUAACUACGUG